GAUGAAGAACGUAGCGAAAUGCGAUACUUGGUGUGAAUUGCAGAAUCCCGUGAACCAUCGAGUCUUUGAACGCAAGUUGCGCCCGAAGCCUCGGCUAAGGGCACGUCUGCCUGGGCGUCACGCAUCGCGUCUCCCCCAAACCGCCAAGGCGGAGGGGAAGGAAGAUGGCUUCCCGUGCCUCACCCGGGCGCGGUUGGCCUAAAUUUGGAGCCCGCGGCACUUAGCUCUCGCGGCGAUAGGUGGUGAACAAGGCCUUGGCCGUGCAAACAACCCGCUGCGAAGCUCUAUGUCACGUGCGCUCGUCGGACCCUUUGAAGUUGCCUUUGGUGACUUAAAACCUUUGCGACCCCAGGUCAGGCGGGGCUACCCGCUGAAUUUAAGCAUAUCAAUAAGCGGAGGGA
Molecule: unclassified non-coding RNA, 401 nt
Filed under: soil metagenome
Description: partial contains 5.8S ribosomal RNA, internal transcribed spacer 2, and large subunit ribosomal RNA
Rfam family: 5.8S ribosomal RNA (bases 1-120)
Source: RNAcentral